This 1236-nucleotide ribosomal RNA is filed under the name metagenome. Its description in RNAcentral is "SSU rRNA". It matches the Rfam family "Eukaryotic small subunit ribosomal RNA", at positions 558 to 1823 of the family's 1831-position model. The record is from RNAcentral.
AGUCUGGUGCCAGCAGCCGCGGUAAUUCCAGCUCCAAUAGCGUAUAUUAAAGUUGUUGUGGUUAAAAUGCUCGUAGUUGAACCUUGGGCCUGGCUGGCCGGUCCGCCUCACCGCGUGUACUGGUCCGGCCGGGCCUUUCCCUCUGUGGAACCCCAUGCCCUUCACUGGGUGUGGCGGGGAAACAGGACUUUUACUUUGAAAAAAUUAGAGUGCUCCAGGCAGGCCUAUGCUCGAAUACAUUAGCAUGGAAUAAUAGAAUAGGACGUGUGGUUCUAUUUUGUUGGUUUCUAGGACCGCCGUAAUGAUUAAUAGGGACAGUCGGGGGCAUCAGUAUUCAAUUGUCAGAGGUGAAAUUCUUGGAUUUAUUGAAGACUAACUACUGCGAAAGCAUUUGCCAAGGAUGUUUUCAUUAAUCAGGAACGAAAGUUAGGGGAUCGAAGACGAUCAGAUACCGUCGUAGUCUUAACCAUAAACUAUGCCGACUAGGGAUCGGACGAUGUUAUUUUUUGACUCGUUCGGCACCUUACGAGAAAUCAAAGUGCUUGGGCUCCAGGGGGAGUAUGGUCGCAAGGCUGAAACUUAAAGAAAUUUACGGAAGGGCACCACCAGGGGUGGAGCCUGCGGCUUAAUUUGACCCAACACGGGGAAACUCACCAGGUCCAGACACGAUGAGGAUUGACAGAUUGAGAGCUCUUUCUUGAUUUUGUGGGUGGUGGUGCAUGGCCGUUCUUAGUUGGUGGAGUGAUUUGUCUGCCUAAUUGCGAUAACGAACGAGACCUUAACCUGCUAAAUAGCCCGUAUUGCUUUGGCAGUACGCUGGCUUCUUAGAGGGACUAUCGGCUCAGGCCGAUGGAAGUUUGAGGCAAUAACAGGUCUGUGAUGCCCCUAGAUGUUCUGGGCCGCACGCGCGCUACACUGACGGAGCCAGCGAGUUCUCCCUUGGCCGGAAGGUCCGGGUAAUCUUGUUAAACUCCGUCGUGCUGGGGAUAGAGCAUUGCAAUUAUUGCUCUUCAACGAGGAAUCCCUAGUAAGCGCAAGUCAUCAGCUUGCGUUGAUUACGUCCCUGCCCUUUGUACACACCGCCCGUCGCUACUACCGAUUGAAUGGCUCAGUGAGGCGUCCGGACUGGCCCAGAGAGGUGGGCAACUACCCCUCAGGGCCGGAAAGCUCUCCAAACUCGGUCAUUUAGAGGAAGUAAAAGUCGUAACAAGGUCUCCGUUGGUGAACCAGCGGAGG